RNAcentral lists this ribosomal RNA (160 nucleotides) under Seseli mairei. RNAcentral describes it as "5.8S ribosomal RNA". It matches the Rfam family "5.8S ribosomal RNA". Rfam says of the family: 5.8S ribosomal RNA (5.8S rRNA) is a component of the large subunit of the eukaryotic ribosome. It is transcribed by RNA polymerase I as part of the 45S precursor that also contains 18S and 28S rRNA. Lineage: Eukaryota; Viridiplantae; Streptophyta; Magnoliopsida; Apiales; Apiaceae. The record is from RNAcentral. RNAcentral also lists the same sequence under 1 other name.
CAACGACUCUCGACAACGGAUAUCUCGGCUCUCGCAUCGAUGAAGAACGUAGCGAAAUGCGAUACUUGGUGUGAAUUGCAGAAUCCCGUGAACCAUCGAGUCUUUGAACGCAAGUUGCGCCCGAAUCCACUAGGCUGAGGGCACGUCUGCCUGGGUGUCA